AUUGAACGCUGGCGGAAUGCUUUACACAUGCAAGUCGAACGGCAGCACGGACUUCGGUCUGGUGGCGAGUGGCGAACGGGUGAGUAAUACAUCGGAACGUGCCCAAUCGUGGGGGAUAACGUAGCGAAAGCUACGCUAAUACCGCAUACGAUCUAAGGAUGAAAGCGGGGGAUCGCAAGACCUCGCGCGAAUGGAGCGGCCGAUGGCAGAUUAGGUAGUUGGUAGGGUAAAGGCCUACCAGCCGACGAUCUGUAGCUGGUCUGAGAGGAUGAUCAGCCACACUGGGACUGAGACACGGCCCAGACUCCUACGGGAGGCAGCAGUGGGGAAUUUUGGACAAUGGACGCAAGUCUGAUCCAGCCAUUCCGCGUGCAGGAUGAAGGCCCUCGGGUUGUAAACUGCUUUUGUACAGAACGAAAAGGCUCUGGUUAAUACCUAGGGCUCAUGACGGUACUGUAAGAAUAAGCACCGGCUAACUACGUGCCAGCCGCCGCGGUAA
RNAcentral lists this ribosomal RNA (499 nucleotides) under uncultured bacterium. Its description in RNAcentral is "partial 16S ribosomal RNA". It matches the Rfam family "Bacterial small subunit ribosomal RNA", at positions 30 to 523 of the family's 1533-position model. The record is from RNAcentral.